RNAcentral lists this long non-coding RNA (301 nucleotides) under Mytilus galloprovincialis (Mediterranean mussel). Lineage: Eukaryota; Metazoa; Mollusca; Bivalvia; Mytilida; Mytilidae. The record is from RNAcentral.
AUUAGGCAGCAACCAUUUGAUUUUCUGGGGGGGGGGCUAUGGUUUUUUUUUCUGGACAAAUUUUUUUUUUCGCCUCCGGCGAAAAACAAUCUAUUUUUUUCGCGACAAGUCAAAAACAAUUUUUUUCUUUCAAUUUUAGCAUUACAUAUAGUGGCAGCUGAGGGUGAAACAAACAAUUUUUUUUUCUCAGAAUCAAAAACAAAUUAUUUUUUUCUCCAAAAACUGGAAACAAACUUUUUUUUCCAAAAAAAACCAUAGCCCCCCCCCAGAAAAUCAAAUGGUUGCUGCCUUACUGUUUAAG